Molecule: transfer RNA, 72 nt
Organism: Camelus ferus (Wild Bactrian camel)
Lineage: Eukaryota; Metazoa; Chordata; Mammalia; Artiodactyla; Camelidae
Rfam family: tRNA
About the family: Transfer RNA (tRNA) molecules are approximately 80 nucleotides in length. Their secondary structure includes four short double-helical elements and three loops (D, anti-codon, and T loops). Further hydrogen bonds mediate the characteristic L-shaped molecular structure. tRNAs have two regions of fundamental functional importance: the anti-codon, which is responsible for specific mRNA codon recognition, and the 3' end, to which the tRNAs corresponding amino acid is attached (by aminoacyl-tRNA synthetases). tRNAs cope with the degeneracy of the genetic code in two manners: having more than one tRNA (with a specific anti-codon) for a particular amino acid; and 'wobble' base-pairing, i.e. permitting non-standard base-pairing at the 3rd anti-codon position.
Source: Rfam
GUAGGUAUGGCUCAGUGGUAGAGCAUGUGCUUAGCAUGCACAAGGUCCUGGGUUCAAUCCCCAGUAUCUCCA